AGUGAACGCUGGCGGUAGGCCUAACACAUGCAAGUCGAACGGCAGCACAGUAAGAGCUUGCUCUUACGGGUGGCGAGUGGCGGACGAGUGAGGAAUACAUCGGAAUCUACUUUUUCGUGGGGGAUAACGUAGGGAAACUUACGCUAAUACCGCAUACGACCUACGGGUGAAAGCAGGGGAUCUUCGGACCUUGCGCGAUUGAAUGAGCCGAUGUCGGAUUAGCUAGUUGGCGGGGUAAAGGCCCACCAAGGCGACGAUCCGUAGCUGGUCUGAGAGGAUGAUCAGCCACACUGGAACUGAGACACGGUCCAGACUCCUACGGGAGGCAGCAGUGGGGAAUAUUGGCCCAUGGGCGCAAGCCUGAUCCCGCCCUCCCGCGUGGGUGAAGAAGGCCUUCGGGUUGUAAAGCCCUUUUGUUGGGAAAGAAAAGCAGCAGGUUAAUACCCCGCUGUUCUGACGGUACCCCCCGAAUAAGCACCGGCUCCCUUCGUG
This 492-nucleotide ribosomal RNA is filed under the name uncultured bacterium. RNAcentral describes it as "partial 16S ribosomal RNA". It matches the Rfam family "Bacterial small subunit ribosomal RNA", at positions 29 to 507 of the family's 1533-position model. The record is from RNAcentral.